GGAACAGUAAAUGAGAAAGCGGAAAAUUACAGCCAAACACAAACACCACAAAAGUGUAAAAAUAUGCCUGGUCGCAAAUGUACAACAUCGCAAAAACAGUCCAGUCCUUAAGGGGUUAAAUGCUACUAGAUGAAUCUUAGCAACGGUUCUCGAUAUUUUGAAACAGUAUGUGAUUGAUUCAUCACCUUUUUUGAUAUCAUGGAAGCGCUUGAAAAGGUUAAAUCUGUAUAGACAAC
Non-coding RNA from Pelobates cultripes (western spadefoot toad), 236 nucleotides. The record is from the annotation of a GenBank genome assembly. NCBI's taxonomy places the organism in Eukaryota, Metazoa, Chordata, Amphibia, Anura, Pelobatidae.